GCUCCCGUAGCUCAGCUGGAUAGAGCAACGGAUUUCUAAUCCGUAGGUCGCAGGUUCGAGUCCUGCCGGGAGCGCCA
This 77-nucleotide transfer RNA is filed under the name Roseibacillus sp. RNAcentral's name for it is "tRNA-Arg". It matches the Rfam family "tRNA". From Rfam's summary of the family: Transfer RNA (tRNA) molecules are approximately 80 nucleotides in length. Their secondary structure includes four short double-helical elements and three loops (D, anti-codon, and T loops). Lineage: Bacteria; Pseudomonadati; Verrucomicrobiota; Verrucomicrobiia; Verrucomicrobiales; Verrucomicrobiaceae. The record is from RNAcentral.